GAUAACCUUGGUGAGAAAAUGAAAAGACCUGUAAUUGCGUGAAAAUAUAGAUUGAUCUUCUUUCGGAGUUGUCGUUUGCUCUGUACAUGUGUUGAGUUCCUGCUAACUUGACAAGCGCUGCCUACUUGCUGAGGUUACAAAGAUGAGUAAGAUAUGCUCCCUGCCCCUAGGAAAUCAUAGCUAGUAGAUGUUUGUAGUUUGUCUGGAACAAAAGAGAGCUAAUGAAGUUUUUCUAUUGCAUUACCUCAUUUGAACUGAUGAGGUGGUACUAUUAUUUUCUUUAUUUUACUCACGAGGAAACUGAGCCUCAUAGAGGUUAAGUUAUUGUAAUGGUCAACUUGUUAUUAUUUGCUCAGUAUCUGUGGUUCUAUUUAGCAAAGGCUGGGAUCGUGUCUGUCCUUUUCACUCUGUAGCCCCAGUGCCUACCACAGUACCUGAACCUAAUGGGUGCUCAAUACACAUUUGAUGGAUUAAUAGAUAUCGGAUUAUUAGUACAUCCAACAAAUAUUGGAUCAUAAAAAAACACUAGUAACAUUAGUCCUCUCACUCUUCAGGUAAGUGCUCUUUUACUAUGCCUUGCUGCCUCUUUAAUUAUAUCUGUUUAGUAUUAACAGAAUGAAUGCUUCAGGUCUGGAAAAAGAAUUAUGUACCACCUAGUUUUUUAAAUAAGGGAAGAGAUUGCCUUUGAAAAGCAGAAGCUGAACACCAUUGCGAAAAUACCAGGAUAAGUCCCCCAGAUUUAAAACUCAACCAUCAAAGUAUUCUUUUCUUUAUGAAGAAACAAUUAUGUCAUAUGUAUCAAGCUUUGCCAUGUUUAAUGGUUUGGAAUCUUUUGGAAUUAGCCAUUAGAAGAGAAGGCAGCAAGUUUGAGGGUCUAGAAGUACCGUGUGUACUUCAUUAGUAAUUUGGAUGGUAUUUAUGAAGCUCAGUUUAUGGCUGAUGCUAAGUAUCAGGGUUAUUAACACUUCAGAAUAUAAGAAUGGAAUUCAAAAUGACCUUGGCAAAAUUGAGAGUUGAUAAUCCUAAAUAGGAACACAUGUAGGCAGGAAGGACAAAUGUACGAUAACUGCAAUGUGCAACUGUGGCAGAAAGGAAUUUAGAGUACAAAUUCAGGAAUCACAGAGUAAUUCUUGCAUUACAUUCUCCAGACUGUUACUGGAAUACUCCUGUCAGUCUUGGGCCUACCAGUUGAAGAGAUUUUUAACAAAGUGGAUGAGAUUCAGAGGAUAUAGAAAAUAAUUAAAGGUUAGAAAUUUGGGAAUGUAAAAACAGAAAACAAGUUGAAUUUUAGUCAUGUAAGUUCCAAAAAAUGUUUACCACUCUUACACCCUUUCUCCAAAGCUACUCCAAAUGUGCUCCACCAAAAUGAGAGGAUGAAGCAAGAUAGGUUAAGACAAUGGAUCCAGCAUCCAGGCAAAGGGAGUUCCAGGAGAUAGGGAAGGGACAGCCUGGGUGGCCAGUGUGCACCUGGUCCAGGACCAUCCAUCUCGCUGAUGCAGUUUACAAGAUUCAAGGAGAGUCUUCUUUAAGAAGGUGAAAAUCAAAACAUUUCUAAUGCAUUUGAACAUUUUCAGAAAAAAGGCUCAACAAAUUGAUGGAGAGUUUGAGGUUCAGUUUAUGAUAGUACACAGAAUAUUUGACAAAACAAACAAAAACCAACUGCAAGGAAACAAGUUGGAGCCAAAAAGAAAGGAAGAAGAAUUAUUGGUAGAACUUACCAAUAAAUACCGCUUAUAUACCGACUCUAACAUAAACAUAUUAACUCUAGCACCUGCCUCACAAGGGCAGCGGGGUGGAAUGGUGGAGAAGAACCCACUUGGGAAGAGAAGCUGAAGAAGCCCCUUAUAGAGAGAGGAUGGCAAAGAAAAGUCAGCCUUUGAAGAAAAGUCCUCCUAAGGAAUAAGGACCACAUGGUCCUCUGGUCCUCCUAAUCCAGAUGCCAAGAAUAAAUGAUCCUGGCUGAUGAAGAUCCACUUGCCACUUCCUCAGCUUUGUGAUUCUGCCUGAAAUGGAUUUCCAGUUGAAAGAUUAAACAACAACAAUAACAACAACCAUCUCUGUGUUGCUGUCUCUCAAAUAUGCUCUUAACAGGUUGGGGAUGCAUCAUCAAAAUCUUCACAACCUUUGAGAUAGGCAGAACAGAAAAGACCCUUUUUCCCAUUACUUCGGUCUCUUGAUUCUUUAUGGUCAUCAAAACAGCUCAAAUAUUGGCUUUUCAUUUCUACUGAUUUGCUGCAGAGUUUUCUAGAGCGAUGUAUGAAGUCCUGCAACAUGUUUGUCUCCCAUUUCACAGCCUCAGAAAGAGCAGUAUUAUAAGAAAAACCAUCAAAUACAGUCUCUUUUGCUGGAUCUUUGCUGUUCCCAGGGUUCCUGCUACAGCUUCAUCUCCUGGCCCCUUCUCUUGGUAAAAUUUGUUCUCACUCUUCUAAGCUCUUCUGAAAUGCACAAGUGCUUUUGCGUACAGCAACAGGAGAGAAGACUUUAAUGUAGAAAUGCCUUAGAAAUAUCUUCUGAUAUUGGGACUUCCUUGGUGACGCAGUGGUUAAUAAUCCGCCUGCCAGUGCAGGUGAUGUGGAUGGGUUCCAGCC
This is a non-coding RNA of Delphinapterus leucas (beluga whale), 2588 nucleotides long. The record is from RefSeq and is a predicted model, not a curated record. Lineage: Eukaryota; Metazoa; Chordata; Mammalia; Artiodactyla; Monodontidae.